RNAcentral lists this long non-coding RNA (327 nucleotides) under Capra hircus (goat). Its description in RNAcentral is "lncRNA (ENSCHIG00000000554.1)". The record is from RNAcentral. Lineage: Eukaryota; Metazoa; Chordata; Mammalia; Artiodactyla; Bovidae.
AAGGACCAGCAUAAUGGGAACUUCACUUGGGAACACAUCCCUUGGGAACACAUCCCUAUGACCAUUAAAAUUCACGAGGCCAACCUGGUGGAAUUGGAGGCUCAGAGAAAGGAUGAAGAGAGACACCAUGGAAGAAGUAACUGAAGAAAUGAAGAAAUUCACAACACAAGAAAUGUGUUGUGCUGGAUAGACCCACUUCUGGAUCCUCUGGCUGGUUCUCUACAAAGGGAUCAAUAAAAAUGGUGAGUAUAGUCUGAGUAAUGGUUAAAAAAGAUAUGGUACAUAUAUACAGUGGAAUAUAACUCAGCCAUAAAAGAACAAGAUAAA